AUCCCGUCUUUGGCACGGAUGCCUGGUGCUUCUGUGAUGCGCUCUCGAAGAGUCGAGUUGUUUGGGAAUGCAGCUCAAAAUGGGUGGUGAACUCCAUCUAAAGCUAAAUAUUGGCGAGAGACCGAUAGCGAACAAGUACCGUGAGGGAAAGAUGAAAAGCACUUUGGAAAGAGAGUGAAACAGUACGUGAAAUUGUUGAAAGGGAAACGCUUGAAGUCAGUCGCGUCGACCGAGACUCAGCCUUGCCUUGGCUUGGUGUACUUCUCGGCCCGACGGGUCAGCAUCAAUUUUGCCCCUCGGAUAAUGGCAGGGGAAAGGUGGCACCUUUACGGGUGUGUUAUAGUCUCCUGUCGAAUGCGAGGGGUGGGAUUGAGGAACUCAGCGCGCACCUCAGUGUCGGGGCUUCGGCCCACGUCACGCGCUUAGGAUGCUGGCGUAAUGGCUUUAAACGACCCGUCUUGAAACACGGACCAAGGAGUCCAACACGCCCGCGAGUGUUCGGGUGGAAAACCCGUGCGCGUAAUGAAAGUGAAAGUUGGGACCUCUGUCGUGGAGGGCACCGACGCCCGGACCAGACCUUCUGUGACGGAUCUGCGGUAGAGCGUGUGUGUUGGGACCCGAAAGAUGGUGAACUAUGCCUGAAUAGGGUGAAGCCAGAGGAAACUCUGGUGGAGGCUCGUAGCGAUUCUGACGUGCAAAUCGAUCGUCAAAUUUGGGUAUAGGGGCGAAAGACUAAUCGAACCAUCUAGUAGCUGGUUCCUGCC
RNAcentral lists this ribosomal RNA (764 nucleotides) under uncultured Lactarius. RNAcentral describes it as "partial 28S ribosomal RNA". It matches the Rfam family "Eukaryotic large subunit ribosomal RNA", at positions 218 to 962 of the family's 3401-position model. The record is from RNAcentral. Lineage: Eukaryota; Fungi; Basidiomycota; Agaricomycetes; Russulales; Russulaceae.